This is a long non-coding RNA of Asparagus officinalis (garden asparagus), 730 nucleotides long. RefSeq lists it as uncharacterized. NCBI's taxonomy places the organism in Eukaryota, Viridiplantae, Streptophyta, Magnoliopsida, Asparagales, Asparagaceae. The record is from RefSeq and is a predicted model, not a curated record. The transcript is spliced from 5 exons.
CUUUUUCUUGUUUAGAAAUAUAAAAUUGCAUGCUAAAUCUCAUUUCAUUCUUAGAAUUUGUCGGAAGGGUUAUUUGAUGAUUAUGUUGAUUUUUUAAAGCGUUGCUUGUAGAAAUGUGAUAUAAGGUCAUUCUAGAGGCGAAUGUGAGUGACAAGGCUAUCAAAUAUGCAUGUUCCUUCAGGAGUCCUCAUCAUCAUCAUUUUUUCAGGGUUAUUAUGGGCAGUGUUAGCAACUAUGUAGUUAACAAUGGAGCAUGCCCCGUCACCGUUGUCAAGAGCGUAGAAGCACAUGAAGGCUAGAUGAUAAUUCUAAACUUUCCAAUGGUAGAGUGAAGAAGUUGCUUGCGCAAGGUGUAUCUCAAAUCGAUAUCAUGAAGAAAAAACCUUAUCAGGAGCUGAUACAAGUGAAACUGACAGAGAUGGAAAUACAGUCUUCAACUUGUACCUGAAAGCAAUUCCUUUUCAUUGUAAUCUAAGUAUUUGAUGAGAGGACUUUCAAGUAGACCAUAAUCAUGGCAUAUUUUGGGUUGCGAAAAAGGAGUUAAUUGAGUUACAUGUACCUAUGUUUGCAAGUUAUCACAAAAACAGAGAGAGGUAAGUACCGCUCCCGGUAAAUUUUAUUUUAGACAAGGAAAUCCCUGUUUGCAACAAUCUGAGAAUUCUUUUCUGCAGCAUCAAACUGAUGCAAUCUUAGCACGAAUAUGGAGGUUUUUUGCUGAUUCUCUGUAUUU